This 245-nucleotide ribosomal RNA is filed under the name uncultured bacterium. Its description in RNAcentral is "partial 16S ribosomal RNA". It matches the Rfam family "Bacterial small subunit ribosomal RNA", at positions 355 to 592 of the family's 1533-position model. The record is from RNAcentral.
UAGGGAAUCUUCCACAAUGGACGCAAGUCUGAUGGAGCAACGCCGCGUGAGUGAAGAAGGUUUUCGGACCGUAAAGCUCUGUUGUUGGUGAAGAAGGAUAGAGGUAGUAACUGGCCUUUAUUUGACGGUAAUCAACCAGAAAGUCACGGCUAACUACGUGCCAGCAGCCGCGGUAAUACGUAGGUGGCAAGCGUUGUCCGGAUUUAUUGGGCGUAAAGCGAGCGCAGGCGGAAGAAUAAGUCUGA